RNAcentral lists this unclassified non-coding RNA (331 nucleotides) under soil metagenome. RNAcentral describes it as "partial contains 5.8S ribosomal RNA, internal transcribed spacer 2, and large subunit ribosomal RNA". The stretch from base 1 to 120 matches the Rfam family "5.8S ribosomal RNA", at positions 35 to 154 of the family's 154-position model. The record is from RNAcentral.
GAUGAAGAACGUAGCGAAAUGCGAUAAGUAAUGUGAAUUGCAGAAUUCAGUGAAUCAUCGAAUCUUUGAACGCACAUUGCGCCCCCUGGUAUUCCGGGGGGCAUGCCUGUUCGAGCGUCAUUUCACCACUCAAGCCUCGCUUGGUAUUGGGCAAUGCGGUCCGCCGCCUGCCUCAAAUCGACCGGCUGGGUCUUCUGUCCCCUAAGCGUUGUGGAAACUAUUCGCUAAAGGGUGUUCGGGAGGCUACGCCGUAAAACAACCCCAUUUCUAAGGUUGACCUCGGAUCAGGUAGGGAUACCCGCUGAACUUAAGCAUAUAAAUAAGCGGAGGA